This 488-nucleotide ribosomal RNA is filed under the name uncultured bacterium. RNAcentral describes it as "bacterial SSU rRNA". It matches the Rfam family "Bacterial small subunit ribosomal RNA", at positions 16 to 507 of the family's 1533-position model. The record is from RNAcentral.
AUCCUGGCUCAGAUUGAACGCUGGCGGAAUGCUUUACACAUGCAAGUCGAACGGUAGAGGGGGCAACCCCUUGAGAGUGGCGAACGGGUGAGUAAUAUAUCGGAACGUGCCCAGUCGUGGGGGAUAACGUAGCGAAAGUUACGCUAAUACCGCAUACGAUCUAUGGAUGAAAGCGGGGGAUCGCAAGACCUCGCGCGAUUGGAGCGGCCGAUAUCAGAUUAGGUAGUUGGUGAGGUAAAGGCUCACCAAGCCGACGAUCUGUAGCUGGUCUGAGAGGACGACCAGCCACACUGGGACUGAGACACGGGCCCAGACUCCUACGGGAGGCAGCAGUGGGGAAUAUUGGACAAUGGGCGCAAGCCUGAUCCAGCCAUGCCGCGUGCAGGAUGACGGUCCUAUGGAUUGUAAACUGCUUUUGUACAGGAAGAAACACUCCCUCGUGAGGGAGCUUGACGGUACCGUAAGAAUAAGCACCGGCUAACUACGUG